AAAAAUUUAAAUACCUCCAUAAAGUUCAAUUUUUCAUUACUGAAGUAGUGAAGCAGAGGUGGGGGGGGGGGUUAAAAAGCCUUUGCCCUGGGCCCCAAUCACGCUAAGUUGGGCCUUGCCAGCACUUUACGAUAGAACAACGCACCCUCGAUCCCUACACAGGCAUAUCAAAGUGGUCACCCACCCGCUUGCUUAGUGACCGCAGUCAUUGAUGUUUGACUUCCCAUUAGGAAACGUUUUAAAUAAGGAGCUACAACUACUGAUCCUGUUUUUUUACUCAUAUGCAUACGUUACUCAAUUGAACGUGACGAGGCAACUCAUUUCUAAAUUUUCGAUAGCGAAGGAAGGGGAAACAAAUAAAGCGAGAAUUGUCCUUAAAAUCAAGGAUUGAAGUUCAGGUAAAAGCUAUCCUCAGAAUAGCAUAUAAGAUCUAGUUUUACUCUGCCAGAAGAUACGCCAGAAGACGUACCCAGAGUCCAAUCAAAUUUCAUAACUAAUUUUAAUAAAAAAAAGCAAAUUUCGCCGGCAACUUGUUUAUUCUAAAUCGUCUUCCUCAUCGAUGGUAUAAGUUUUGGUUUCAUAGUUUCCCGUUACUAGUGUAUUUUGUCUGCACCUUUUAUAAAAGCGCUUUUGUAAUCGAUUGUGGGAAGAAGGAUGUCUUCGGACCGUAAAGCAGUCAUAAAAAAUGCAGACAUGUCAGAAGAGAUGCAGCAGGAUGCUGUUGAUAUUGCGACCCAAGCUCUGGAGAAGUAUAAUAUAGAAAAAGAUAUUGCUGCUUAUAUCAAGAAAGAAUUUGACAAGAAAUAUAACCCAACCUGGCAUUGUAUCGUAGGUCGAAAUUUCGGUAGUUACGUCACUCACGAAACGAAGCACUUCAUUUAUUUCUACUUGGGACAAGUUGCAAUUCUCUUAUUCAAAUCUGGAUAGACCCCUCAAGUAAUAAACUCUGUUAGUUCUUUAUUUUCUGCAUCAUCAUUUGUUUGUAUAAUAUUUAUUUUAAUCUGUUGUACAAAUUGUAAUUAUCAGUUACAUGUUCAUAAGUGAAAUACUCAAAGCUUGAAUAAAGUCAGUUCUUGCAUC
Long non-coding RNA from Parasteatoda tepidariorum (common house spider), 1080 nucleotides. Lineage: Eukaryota; Metazoa; Arthropoda; Arachnida; Araneae; Theridiidae. The record is from RefSeq and is a predicted model, not a curated record.